CAAAAGGGACCAUUUCCAUUGUGAUAAAGUAAGGUAUUGGAAAAUAAAAUUACAAGAGCUAUCUUGCAAGUGUAAAGCAAUAAAAAGAUACAAAAAUUUGUAUAUGUAUUAGAUACCGUAUGUAGUUCCUACUUAUACAAAUCAUUAUAGAGACUACAGAAAAUAAGAAAGCUAAAGAAAGGUGACUUCGAGCUGAUUGGCACA
This 204-nucleotide long non-coding RNA is filed under the name Elaeis guineensis (African oil palm). RNAcentral's name for it is "long non-coding RNA (EGUI_LNC055969)". The record is from RNAcentral. Lineage: Eukaryota; Viridiplantae; Streptophyta; Magnoliopsida; Arecales; Arecaceae.